This 970-nucleotide ribosomal RNA is filed under the name uncultured bacterium. RNAcentral's name for it is "bacterial SSU rRNA". It matches the Rfam family "Bacterial small subunit ribosomal RNA", at positions 534 to 1501 of the family's 1533-position model. The record is from RNAcentral.
GUGGACGUUCCGGAUUAUUGGGCGUAAGAGCUCGUAGGCGGUUUGUCGCGUCUGCCGUGAAAGUCCGGGGCUCAACUCCGGAUCUGCGGUGGGUACGGGCAGACUAGAGUGAUGUAGGGGAGACUGGAAUUCCUGGUGUAGCGGUGAAAUGCGCAGAUAUCAGGAGGAACACCGAUGGCGAAGGCAGGUCUCUGGGCAUUAACUGACGCUGAGGAGCGAAAGCAUGGGGAGCGAACAGGAUUAGAUACCCUGGUAGUCCAUGCCGUAAACGUUGGGCACUAGGUGUGGGGGACAUUCCACGUUUUCCGCGCCGUAGCUAACGCAUUAAGUGCCCCGCCUGGGGAGUACGGCCGCAAGGCUAAAACUCAAAGGAAUUGACGGGGGCCCGCACAAGCGGCGGAGCAUGCGGAUUAAUUCGAUGCAACGCGAAGAACCUUACCAAGGCUUGACAUGGGCCGGACCGGGCUGGAAACAGUCCUUCCCCUUUGGGGCCGGUUCACAGGUGGUGCAUGGUUGUCGUCAGCUCGUGUCGUGAGAUGUUGGGUUAAGUCCCGCAACGAGCGCAACCCUCGUUCCAUGUUGCCAGCGCGUAAUGGCGGGGACUCAUGGGAGACUGCCGGGGUCAACUCGGAGGAAGGUGGGGACGACGUCAAAUCAUCAUGCCCCUUAUGUCUUGGGCUUCACGCAUGCUACAAUGGCCGGUACAAAGGGUUGCGAUACUGUGAGGUGGAGCUAAUCCCAAAAAGCCGGUCUCAGUUCGGAUUGGGGUCUGCAACUCGACCCCAUGAAGUCGGAGUCGCUAGUAAUCGCAGAUCAGCAACGCUGCGGUGAAUACGUUCCCGGGCCUUGUACACACCGCCCGUCAAGUCACGAAAGUUGGUAACACCCGAAGCCGGUGGCCUAACCCCUUGUGGGAGGGAGCUGUCGAAGGUGGGACUGGCGAUUGGGACUAAGUCGUAACAAGGUAACC